This is a non-coding RNA of Peromyscus maniculatus bairdii (prairie deer mouse), 307 nucleotides long. The record is from RefSeq and is a predicted model, not a curated record. Lineage: Eukaryota; Metazoa; Chordata; Mammalia; Rodentia; Cricetidae.
CAGAGAGCCAUUUGUCUAGUGAAGUCCCAUCUAUGGAGAAGGAAACACCAAGAGCUUGGAGGCUUGGAACUCUUGCUAGUGCCUCCUUUAGGCCAAGACCAACAUGAAGUCAACGAGCAAAACAAGACUUCUGUUUACAGACUCCCAGCCCCAGCAUCUCCAAAGCUGAAUCUCACUGCAUGGAUAUGAUUCUUUUGGGGGAAGGAAGAGAGAGAAGAGAACUUCACAGAGGAAUGCUGUUAUCAGAAAUGAUAUCAAUGACAUGGAAGAGAUGAUUUUAACUUAAUAUCUAUGCAAACAUAAACCA